This 856-nucleotide ribosomal RNA is filed under the name uncultured bacterium. Its description in RNAcentral is "SSU rRNA". It matches the Rfam family "Bacterial small subunit ribosomal RNA", at positions 524 to 1381 of the family's 1533-position model. The record is from RNAcentral.
UACGAAGGGACCUAGCGUAGUUCGGAAUUACUGGGCUUAAAGAGUUCGUAGGUGGUUGAAAAAGUUGGUGGUGAAAUCCCAGAGCUUAACUCUGGAACUGCCAUCAAAACUUUUCAGCUAGAGUAUGAUAGAGGAAAGCAGAAUUUCUAGUGUAGAGGUGAAAUUCGUAGAUAUUAGAAAGAAUACCAAUUGCGAAGGCAGCUUUCUGGAUCAUAACUGACACUGAGGAACGAAAGCAUGGGUAGCGAAGAGGAUUAGAUACCCUCGUAGUCCAUGCCGUAAACGAUGUGUGUUAGACGUUGGAAAUUUAUUUUCAGUGUCGCAGCGAAAGCGAUAAACACACCGCCUGGGGAGUACGACCGCAAGGUUAAAACUCAAAUGAAUUGACGGGGACCCGCACAAGUAGUGGAGCAUGUGGUUUAAUUCGAAGAUACGCGCAGAACCUUACCAACACUUGACAUGUUCGUCGCGACUCUAAGAGAUUAGAGUUUUCGGUUCGGCCGGACGAAACACAGGUGCUGCAUGGCUGUCGUCAGCUUGUGUCGUGAGAUGUUGGGUUAAGUCCCGCAACGAGCGCAACCCUCACUUUUAGUUGCCAUCAUUAAGUUGGGCACUCUGAAAGAACUGCCAGUGAUAAGCUGGAGGAAGGUGGGGAUGACGUCAAGUCCUCAUGGCCCUUACGUGUUGGGCUACACACGUGCUACAAUGGUAUCUACAACAGGAAGCAAGACGGCGACGUUAAGCAAAUCCUUAAAAGAUACCUCAGUUCGGAUUGCACUCUGCAACUCGAGUGCAUGAAGCUGGAAUUACUAGUAAUCGUGGAUCAGCGUGCCACGGUGAAUGCGUUCCCGGGUCU